RNAcentral lists this ribosomal RNA (165 nucleotides) under uncultured bacterium. RNAcentral's name for it is "partial 16S rRNA". It matches the Rfam family "Bacterial small subunit ribosomal RNA", at positions 355 to 512 of the family's 1533-position model. The record is from RNAcentral.
UAGGGAAUCUUCCACAAUGGACGCAAGUCUGAUGGAGCAACGCCGCGUGAGUGAAGAAGGGUUUCGGCUCGUAAAGCUCUGUUGUUAAAGAAGAACGUGGGUAAGAGUAACUGUUUACCCAGUGACGGUAUUUAACCAGAAAGCCACGGCUAACUACGUGCCCAG